RNAcentral lists this ribosomal RNA (1347 nucleotides) under uncultured bacterium. RNAcentral describes it as "bacterial SSU rRNA". It matches the Rfam family "Bacterial small subunit ribosomal RNA", at positions 28 to 1381 of the family's 1533-position model. The record is from RNAcentral.
GACGAACGCUCGUUGCGUGCUUAACACAUGCAAGUCGAACGAUGAAGCCUAGCUUGCUAGGUGGAUUAGUGGCGAACGGGUGAGUAAUACGUGAGUAACCUACCUUUAACUCUGGGAUAAGCCUGGGAAACUGGGUCUAAUACCGGAUACGACCAAUCUCCGCAUGGGGUGUUGGUGGAAAGCGUUAUGUAGUGGUUAUAGAUGGGCUCACGGCCUAUCAGCUUGUUGGUGAGGUAACGGCUCACCAAGGCGACGACGGGUAGCCGGCCUGAGAGGGUGACCGGCCACACUGGGACUGAGACACGGCCCAGACUCCUACGGGAGGCAGCAGUGGGGAAUAUUGCACAAUGGGCGCAAGCCUGAUGCAGCGACGCCGCGUGAGGGAUGACGGCCUUCGGGUUGUAAACCUCUGUUAGCAGGGAAGAAGAGAGAUUGACGGUACCUGCAGAGAAAGCGCCGGCUAACUACGUGCCAGCAGCCGCGGUAAUACGUAGGGCGCGAGCGUUGUCCGGAAUUAUUGGGCGUAAAGAGCUUGUAGGCGGUUUGUCGCGUCUGCUGUGAAGGCCGGAGCUUAACUCCGUGUAUUGCAGUGGGUACGGGCAGACUAGAGUGCAGUAGGGGAGACUGGAAUUCCUGGUGUAGCGGUGGAAUGCGCAGAUAUCAGGAGGAACACCGAUGGCGAAGGCAGGUCUCUGGGCUGUAACUGACGCUGAGAAGCGAAAGCAUGGGGAGCGAACAGGAUUAGAUACCCUGGUAGUCCAUGCCGUAAACGUUGGGCACUAGGUGUGGGGAACAUUCCACGUUUUCCGCGCCGUAGCUAACGCAUUAAGUGCCCCGCCUGGGGAGUACGGCCGCAAGGCUAAAACUCAAAGAAAUUGACGGGGGCCCGCACAAGCGGCGGAGCAUGCGGAUUAAUUCGAUGCAACGCGAAGAACCUUACCAAGGCUUGACAUAUACUGGACCGCAUCAGAGAUGGUGUUUCCCUUCGGGGCUGGUAUACAGGUGGUGCAUGGUUGUCGUCAGCUCGUGUCGUGAGAUGUUGGGUUAAGUCCCGCAACGAGCGCAACCCUCGUUCUAUGUUGCCAGCACGUAAUGGUGGGGACUCAUAGGAGACUGCCGGGGUCAACUCGGAGGAAGGUGGGGAUGACGUCAAAUCAUCAUGCCCCUUAUGUCUUGGGCUUCACGCAUGCUACAAUGGCCGGUACAGAGGGUUGCGAUACUGUGAGGUGGAGCUAAUCCCUAAAAGCCGGUCUCAGUUCGGAUUGGGGUCUGCAACUCGACCCCAUGAAGUCGGAGUCGCUAGUAAUCGCAGAUCAGCAACGCUGCGGUGAAUACGUUCCCGGGCCU